Molecule: ribosomal RNA, 483 nt
Filed under: uncultured bacterium
Lineage: Bacteria
Description: partial 16S ribosomal RNA
Rfam family: Bacterial small subunit ribosomal RNA
Source: RNAcentral
UUUCACGCUGGCGGCAGGCCUAACACAUGCCAGUCGAGCGGAUGAAGGGAGCUUGCUCCUGGAUUCAGCGGCGGACGGGUGAGUAAUGCCUAGGAAUCUGCCUGGUAGUGGGGGAUAACGUCCGGAAACGGGCGCUAAUACCGCAUACGUCCUGAGGGAGAAAGUGGGGGAUCUUCGGACCUCACGCUAUCAGAUGAGCCUAGGUCGGAUUAGCUAGUUGGUGGGGUAAAGGCCUACCAAGGCGACGAUCCGUAACUGGUCUGAGAGGAUGAUCAGUCACACUGGAACUGAGACACGGUCCAGACUCCUACGGGAGGCAGCAGUGGGGAAUAUUGGACAAUGGGCGAAAGCCUGAUCCAGCCAUGCCGCGUGUGUGAAGAAGGUCUUCGGAUUGUAAAGCACUUUAAGUUGGGAGGAAGAGCAGUAAGUUAAUACCUUGCUGUUUUGACGUUACCAACAGAAUAAGCACCGGCUAACUUCGUG